Cheilinus undulatus (humphead wrasse) is the source of this 65-nucleotide small nucleolar RNA. RefSeq annotates it as small nucleolar RNA SNORD58. The record is from RefSeq and is a predicted model, not a curated record. Lineage: Eukaryota; Metazoa; Chordata; Actinopteri; Labriformes; Labridae. The transcript has a single exon.
UUGCAGUGAUGACCAUUUAGGACACCUUUGUAUUAACCAUGAAAAUAAAACCAAGUCUGAGCGAU